UCGGACCUUGAAACGUCCGGCGAUAUUAUUAUUAUAAUACAGGUACCGGGUACAUUAUAGUUAUUCGUGUAGGUAUUUAUUUAUGUACGUUUAAAUCGUUAGAAAUGGGAUUAUUGCUUAAUACCAUUACGUACGUUAUCGUGGUCACCGCACUCGAAUCGGUUGCCCUGCGGUCGAGGUCACCGUCCGAGUCCUCGGAGGCCGCGGGAGCGCCGCCGUCCCAAUGAUGUAUAUCGUCGAGGACUUUGGACUAGGGCCGA
Non-coding RNA from Cinara cedri, 260 nucleotides. Lineage: Eukaryota; Metazoa; Arthropoda; Insecta; Hemiptera; Aphididae. The record is from the annotation of a GenBank genome assembly.